Long non-coding RNA from Bombus huntii, 1253 nucleotides. RefSeq lists it as uncharacterized. The transcript is spliced from 3 exons. The record is from RefSeq and is a predicted model, not a curated record. Lineage: Eukaryota; Metazoa; Arthropoda; Insecta; Hymenoptera; Apidae.
UUUGCAGUGUAAAAUGGAGUGAAAUGAGCGAUUAAACGUCGAAGUAUCUCCAUCGGGAAGGAGAUGACGGCUACUUUUCGACAAAAUCGACAAAAUCAUUGCGAUUUGCGAGCCAUUUUGCUUGUUUCGACGCUUAAACGGCAGUGCAUUACAUUUGCAGUAUAAAAUGAAGUGAAAUGAGAGCUUAAACGUCGAAAUAUCUCCAACGGGAAGGAAAUGACAGCGACUUUUCGUCAAAAUCGACGAAAUCAUCGCGAUUUGUGAGCUAUUUUGCUUGUUUCGACGCUUAAACGGUAUGCAUUACAUUUGCAGUGUAAAAUGGAGUGAAAUGAGCGCUUAAACGUCGAAAUAUCUCCAGCGGGGAUGAAAUGACUGUUAGUUUUCGUCAAAAUCGACGAAAUCAUCGCGAUUUGCGAAUUAUUUUGCUUGUUUCGACGCAUAAACGGUAGUGCAUUAAAUUUUCAGUGUAAAAUGAAGUGAAAUGAGCGCUUAAACGUCGAAAUAUCUCUAGGAAGAAGGAAAUGACAGAUAGUUUUCGUCAAAAUCGACGAAAUCAUCGCUAUUUGCAACCUAUUUUGCUUGUUUCGACGCUUAAACGGCAGUGCAUUACAUUUGCAGUGUAAAAUGAGGUGAAAUGAGCGCGUAAACGUCGAAAUAUGUCCAGCGGGAAGGAAAUGACGGCUACUUUUCGUCAAAACCGACGAAAUCAUCGCGAUUUGUGAGCUAUUUUGCUUGUUUCGUCGCUUAAACGGCAGUGCAUUACAUUUGCAGUGUAAAAUGAGGUGAAAUGAGCGCUUAAGCGUCGAAAUAUCUCCAGCGGGGAUAAAAUGACUGUUAGUUUUCGUCAAAAUCGACGAAAUCAUCGCGAUUCACGAGCUAUUUUGCCUGUUUCGACGCUUAAACGGCAGUGCAUUACAUUUGCAGUGUAAAAUGGAGUGACAUGAGCGCUUAAGCGUCGAAAUAUCUCCAGCGGGGAUGAAAUGACUGUUAGUUUUCGUCAAAAUCGACGAAAUCAUCGCGAUUUGCGAAUUAUUUUGCUUGUUUCGACGCAUAAACGGUAGUGCAUUACAUUUGCAGUGUAAAGUGGAGUGAAAUGAGGGCUUAAACGUCGAAAUAUCUCUAGCAAGAAGGAAAUGACAGUUAGUUUUCGUCAAAAUCGACGAAAUCAUCGCGAUUUGCGAGCUAUUUUCCUUGUUUCGACGCUUAAACGGUAGUGCAUUACAUUUGCAGUGUAAAAUUGAGUGAAAUGAGCG